This 395-nucleotide unclassified non-coding RNA is filed under the name soil metagenome. RNAcentral describes it as "partial contains 5.8S ribosomal RNA, internal transcribed spacer 2, and large subunit ribosomal RNA". The stretch from base 1 to 122 matches the Rfam family "5.8S ribosomal RNA", at positions 35 to 154 of the family's 154-position model. The record is from RNAcentral.
GAUGAAGAACGUAGUGAAAUGCGAUACUUGGUGUGAAUUGCAGAAUCCCGUGAACCAUCGAGUCUUUGAACGCAAGUUGCGCCCGAAGCCAUCAGGUUGAGGGCACGUCUGCCUGGGCGUCACAUAUCGUUGCCCAAUGCCUAUUGCAGUGCAAUAGGAAUUUCUAGGGCGAAUGAUGGCUUUCCGUGAGCGUUGUUGCCUCGCGGUUGGUUGAAAAUCGAGUCCUUGGUAGGGUGUGCCAUGGUAGAUGGUGGUCGAGUUAGAACGAUACCGAUCAUGUGCAUGCUCCCCAAAAUAUGGCCUCUAUGACCCACACGCGUCUUUUGACGCUCAUGACGAGACCUCAGGUCAGGCGGGGCUACCCGCUGAAUUUAAGCAUAUCAAUAAGCGGAGGA